UAAGGCUCAUAUGCGCAAGACU
This 22-nucleotide microRNA is filed under the name Blattella germanica (German cockroach). RNAcentral describes it as "Bge-Novel-19_5p (mature (guide))". Lineage: Eukaryota; Metazoa; Arthropoda; Insecta; Blattodea; Blattellidae. The record is from RNAcentral.